This 292-nucleotide ribosomal RNA is filed under the name uncultured bacterium. RNAcentral describes it as "partial 16S ribosomal RNA". It matches the Rfam family "Bacterial small subunit ribosomal RNA", at positions 505 to 796 of the family's 1533-position model. The record is from RNAcentral.
GUGCCAGCAGCCGCGGUAAUACGAAGGGUGCAAGCGUUACUCGGAAUUACUGGGCGUAAAGCGUGCGUAGGUGGUUGUUUAAGUCUGUUGUGAAAGCCCUGGGCUCAACCUGGGAAUUGCAGUGGAUACUGGGCGACUAGAGUGUGGUAGAGGGUAGUGGAAUUCCCGGUGUAGCAGUGAAAUGCGUAGAGAUCGGGAGGAACAUCCAUGGCGAAGGCAGCUACCUGGACCAACACUGACACUGAGGCACGAAAGCGUGGGGAGCAAACAGGAUUAGAUACCCUGGUAGUCC